RNAcentral lists this long non-coding RNA (505 nucleotides) under Athene cunicularia (burrowing owl). RNAcentral describes it as "lncRNA (ENSACUG00000006789.1)". Lineage: Eukaryota; Metazoa; Chordata; Aves; Strigiformes; Strigidae. The record is from RNAcentral.
UGCUCCGGGGCCGGGGCCUGUGUCCGUAAGCAGCCGUGCCGCCCGCCAGAAUAGCUGCCUGCCUCAGCAGUUCAGGGCUUACGUGACGAAAGGGGACCAGCUUACUGCUCCAUUACAUGCAGUGAUAUUGCUGAAGAAGGUGCUUAGUCAAGGUUUGAUUUGCUGCCUCUUCGCUUUGGCAACCCUCGGAACAGCCUGCCUUUCAAAUUUCUGUGAAUGCAGAUACCACCAGUAAUGUCCAGGUUUGAGAGGAGAAAGGAAAACAUUGUCUUUUCUUGCUUCUUCUGUGUGGUCUUCCCUACAGUCUGUCCAAUCUUCUUUUGCUUCUAGUCAAAACCCGACCACUUUUUUAUGGCAGUAAUCAACCCACAUGCACAUACAGUGAAAUUCCUUCUUUAGGUAAAAUUGUUCUUACUUUUAUAUUCAGAAUAAUUCCUAAUUCAACCUUCAUUUACCAGGUGUAAGCAAUUUCCCCAUAAUCAAAGCUAAGCUACCCUCCUCCCAC